This 1770-nucleotide long non-coding RNA is filed under the name Daphnia pulex (common water flea). RNAcentral's name for it is "uncharacterized LOC124192070". Lineage: Eukaryota; Metazoa; Arthropoda; Branchiopoda; Diplostraca; Daphniidae. The record is from RNAcentral.
AAUGUGACAGCUUCGUCUGCCCCUAAGUUACACUGAGAGACGAGACGAGACACAUCAUAAGUUACUUUAAAAUAUCAAAACAAAUUGAGAUUAGAAUUUUUAGUUCCUAAUCAGCACAAGUCACCGAGAUGAUGUCACAGCGCACUCGACCGGAUCCGGCUCACGCUCAAAUAAAUAUGAUGACCUUUCUACCAUUAUCUUUUUGGCUAGCUCUCUUUUAUAAGCUCUUUCGUAUGUGAGUGUGUCGUACUACUCAACGCACAUAUUUCCAUUAGAUUAUUUUUCCCCUGUGCCAAUCGAUUUUUAUACUUUCAGGGCGGAUGCCACAGAGAUCGAAUUACACUUUACAUCCGCGCACCAAUAAAUCCUAGAUUGCUUCCUCGUCAAACUGACAUCGUUUUUUACACACAGAGAUUCCAUCCUUUUUUUUUGUGUGUGUGUUAGAUCCUGGGGUCCUGAUAUUCCCCCCCCCCCUGUCUACUUAAAUCCUGUCCCUUCCUUUUGUGACAUGGUACACACACGGCACAACCCCACCAACAGUGAGGGUUUUAAUCCAAACAAUAGAGCAAAGAUAGUAGACACAACAAACACACACACAAGGACGUAGGCGGUGGUCGGUAUAUACGCUGAGUGAAAACGUGCCGUGUCACGUGACUGCCGAAAUCGAACGUCGUUCGCUUUUGUUUGCCCACUUUCCCACCUUAAGAGACAACCAAACAAGGAGGUAACAACUUCUACUAAACCCCUUGCCACAAGAUAGGAGCUAGGCAAUCCCAACCCGAAAUAAUCCGCUCGCAUUGUUCUUUCAGAUAACAUUCAAGAUGACUUUUUAUUGACUGAAGAGAAGAUAAAAGAGGGGAAAGAGUAACUUAAAAGUAAAUAGGUAAAAGUUGUUUUAUAUGUACACACGCAAGUUUGUUUGGUUUUUUUUCUAAGUGAUAUUACCAGUAAGGAUAAGUAGUAGUAGUAGUGCUAGUUAAUAAUAAAAUAAAAAGUUUUCAAAUAAAAGACAUUAUUUUUACAAUGGGAGGAAAAGAUGUAUCGGAACAAAAACCCAGUCACAACACAAAUACACACAAAAUGAGAGAAAACCAUCGGUGUUGUUAUUUUUCAUUAAAUCGCAUAUUUUUGUUUUAUAAAGGAGAAAAAGAAAAACGGGGAGGAACAAUCGAUUAGAAGCUUUCGUCCGAAUCAGCACACACUUUUAUAGGAAAAAGAGUGGAUGACGGUUUUAAAGGUUAGAGGUGGUUUGUUAUUUUGUUUGGGAACAAGGAGGGUGAAAACACACACACACACACAGCAAUCCAAUCACUGCACCCUCAACAUUCGUCGACACACAUGCUACACAAAAUCUUUGUUUACGUUUGAUUAAUUACACAAUACUUAACACGGCUCCCCUAAUAAAAAACGAUAAACGGUUGCUUAUAACUAGAUCAUUCUUAUAAGAUUUUUUUAAAAAGAAGAAACAAUUUUUUUUUCUUUUGUGUGAGUUUUGUUUACAAGAAGAUAUUGCAUCAAUAUUUAGUAUACGUUUUUUUGUUCUCUUCCCUUUUUUCAAGUUUUUUGGGGAACUAAAAAGAAGGGUAGAGAAGAGAGACACACGAGGAACCUAAACCCGGCCCUUUGAGGAACACGAAAAACUGUUACCAUUCCAAAAAUGUAAAAGGGAAAAGAUAUGGUUAUGUUUGGGGGGGGGGGGAGCACUAAAAAGAAAAUUAUAAAGAGGGAGAGUGACAACUGUUAGCUCAAUUAGGAGUACAGAGUAGAAGG